GAUGAACGCUGGCGGCGUGCCUAAUACAUGCAAGUCGAGCGAACAGACGAGGAGCUUGCUCCUCUGACGUUAGCGGCGGACGGGUGAGUAACACGUGGAUAAACUACCUAUAAGACUGGGAUAACUUCGGGAAACCGGAGCUAAUACCGGAUAAUAUAUUGAACCGCAUGGUUCAAUAGUGAAAGACGGUUUUGCUGUCACUUAUAGAUGGAUCCGCGCCGCAUUAGCUAGUUGGUAAGGUAAUGGCUUACCAAGGCAACGAUGCGUAGCCGACCUGAGAGGGUGAUCGGCCACACUGGAACUGAGACACGGUCCAGACUCCUACGGGAGGCAGCAGUAGGGAAUCUUCCGCAAUGGGCGAAAGCCUGACGGAGCAACGCCGCGUGAGUGAUGAAGGUCUUCGGAUCGUAAAACUCUGUUAUUAGGGAAGAACAAAUGUGUAAGUAACUAUGCACGUCUUGACGGUACCUAAUCAGAAAGCCACGGCUAACUACGUG
RNAcentral lists this ribosomal RNA (497 nucleotides) under uncultured bacterium. RNAcentral describes it as "partial 16S ribosomal RNA". It matches the Rfam family "Bacterial small subunit ribosomal RNA", at positions 28 to 507 of the family's 1533-position model. The record is from RNAcentral.